AAUAUGUUGCUACUUCUCUCAAUAACAUUGCUGCCCUGAAUUUAUCAGGCGCUAUCGACAAAGGUCAGUGGGAACAAGUUGUGACGACGAUCGUGCCAUGCAGUGCUGACUCUCACUCUGAAAAUAAGUUUUGAAAUCAGUGGAACACCACCAGUCAAACAAGCUGUGCAAACUAAACGGAAACAGUGUGUCUUAUAAAAGUGGUUGCAGUCUGCUGUGAAGCUUUCAUCCAUYUAUACAGCAUCAAUCAGAACAUGCAUGACUCUAAUCCACAAGUCAUACAGUCAUCAAAAGGAGAGCUGGCGCAAGCAAAGGCAUCAGCUACAUGGGAAAACACGUGUGGACCUGAAUUGUGAUAACUGCAGUGGCCAAAACAAGAACAAGUUUGUGCUCUGGUAUGCACAAGCUCCACCACAAUCUGUACCUUCACUUCCUGAUCACAAGUUUGCCUGACUGGUGCUUCUGCCUCAUUUUAAGCAGCGCUUCAGAAAGACCAGAGUCAACACUUUGAGAUUGCAGGUGUUGUGAAGGACAGCACUGAUGGGUCAACAUCCCACAGCUGGUUGGACUGGAGGAUGGUACGGUGCUGGUGGAAAGCUAUGGCUGGCAACUACACCUGACUCUACUUCAGGCCACUGCCACAGAUCAAGCAGUACCAGCACUUCAGAUAAAUCAUUUUCAUUCUUCAAUGCUCUGGAGCCUUGUGUUGUCGCCAAGGCGUUAUCGGACUGUCGGGCCCAGGUUUCAGGUGCUGCGCAUCCUUCCUCCCAUAGAUGGUCUGCCUGUGAAAGCACCACCUGGACUGGACACAGCUAGACAAACUAUAUUUGACAAGCUCAGGGAGUUUUGCGGCAAAGAGGGUAUGGACGUCACAUGUCCUGCACCAAAGUCAAGGGCAGGACAGAAACAGGCUCUCGGAAUAUAGAUUCCCUGGUUUAGAUGGACCAGUCAUCAGCACUAUCUGCAGUGCCUCUAUUCACAUGACUCCCUCCUAACACACAUGUUGCUGCUACUAUAAAAAUAAAUUUAAAAAAUGUAUCCUGCUGCUCGGCCACUUUACCCCUAAUUGUAUGCAUAGAACUACCUCUAUCACUGAUAUUGUGUAUGUUAUUUAUAUUGACACUGCCUAUUUCUGAUAUUGCUACUAUGCAAGUAACCAUCUGGCUGUACCAUUU
This is a long non-coding RNA of Salvelinus sp. IW2-2015, 1175 nucleotides long. RefSeq lists it as uncharacterized. The record is from RefSeq and is a predicted model, not a curated record. NCBI's taxonomy places the organism in Eukaryota, Metazoa, Chordata, Actinopteri, Salmoniformes, Salmonidae.